CUGGCGUGACAAUCGGUCUGCGCGGGCGCAGUGGCGGCAGCCGCUGCACCCGCGUGGCUAGAAGCCCACGGUCUGCAGGCGAGUUGAGGUUUCAGACUCUUCAGCAGACAGCAGGAUGGGCUGCGCCAGGACACAGAUGACCGCUGGAUGUGCGAAAAAAGGGUCAGCACGUGAGCCACCAGGUCAUUCCAGCUUCGGCCGUGGGGCCCCGCUCAGACGCGCGCCUGUCUCCUGGUGAAAUCCUGGAGGCUGUCCUUUCCACCGUCCUGUCUGCACGAGGAGGACACAGGGGUCAGCUUCCUGGGAGAAGGGAGUCGUCCGGAUGGCUGGUCCCCGGAGGGAUGACUUACUGCAUGAACAUCGAAAUCAGAUGAACCCUGACGGCGACAGCGAUGGUGCACGGGCCCCUCACCCCGAUACCCAGGACCCAGAGAGGAUCGGCUGGAAGUGAUGGACACGAAACCACCGCCCCCCGCCCUGGAUAAAGUGGCAGGAGCAGCGACACGUGAGUGUCCGAGGCUGCUCUGUCUGUUCAUGUCCCCGAGUUCACGUGUUGAGUCCUAACACCCCCCCCCCCCCCCCCCCCCCCCCCCCCCCCCNGGGGUCAUGAGGGUGGGGCUUUAUGCUGCUGUAAGACAGCCCUCAGGGUGUUCCUGUCUUGGCUCAGUGGUUAACAAAUCUGACUAGGAACCAUGAGGUUGCGGGUUUGAUCCCUGGCCUUGCUCAGUGGGUUAAGGAUCUGGCAUUGCCGGGAGCUGUAGUGUAGGCCGGCAGCUACAGCUCCUAUUGGACCCCUUGCCUGGGAAUCUCUGUAUGCCGUGGGAGUGGCCCAAGAAAUGGCAGAAAGACAAGGAAAAAAAAAAAAAAAAAAAAAA
Molecule: long non-coding RNA, 875 nt
Filed under: Sus scrofa (pig)
Lineage: Eukaryota; Metazoa; Chordata; Mammalia; Artiodactyla; Suidae
Description: lncRNA (ENSSSCG00065055301.1)
Source: RNAcentral